UAGUCCACGCCGUAAACGAUGGAUACUAGCUGUUCGGACUUCGGUCUGAGUGGCUAAGCGAAAGUGAUAAGUAUCCCACCUGGGGAGUACGUUCGCAAGAAUGAAACUCAAAGGAAUUGACGGGGGCCCGCACAAGCGGUGGAGCAUGUGGUUUAAUUCGAUGAUACGCGAGGAACCUUACCAGGGCUUAAAUGUAGAGUGACAGAGUUAGAGAUAGCUUUUUCUUCGGACACUCUACAAGGUGCUGCAUGGUUGUCGUCAGCUCGUGCUGUGAAGUGUCAGGUUAAGUCCUAUAACGAGCGCAACCCCUGUUGUUAGUUGCCAGCGAGUCAAGUCGGGAACUCUAACAAGACUGCCGGUGCAAACCGCGAGGAAGGUGGGGAUGACGUCAAAUCAUCACGGCCCUUACGUCCUGGGCUACACACGUGCUACAAUGGCCGGUACAGAGAGCAGCCAGUGGGUGACCACGAGCGAAUCUAUAAAACCGGUCUCAGUUCGGAUCGGAGU
RNAcentral lists this ribosomal RNA (507 nucleotides) under uncultured bacterium. Its description in RNAcentral is "bacterial SSU rRNA". It matches the Rfam family "Bacterial small subunit ribosomal RNA", at positions 791 to 1304 of the family's 1533-position model. The record is from RNAcentral.